UGCAAGUCGAACGGUAACAUUUCUAGCUUGCUAGAAGAUGACGAGUGGCGGACGGGUGAGUAAUGCUUGGGAACUUGCCUUCGCGAGGGGGAUAACAGUUGGAAACGACUGCUAAUACCGCAUAAUGUCUUCGGACCAAACGGGGCUUAGGCUCCGGCGCAAAGAGAGGCCCAAGUGAGAUUAGCUAGUUGGUAAGGUAACGGCUUACCAAGGCGACGAUCUCUAGCUGUUCUGAGAGGAAGAUCAGCCACACUGGGACUGAGACACGGCCCAGACCCCUACGGGAGGCAGCAGUGGGGAAUAUUGCACAAUGGGGGAAACCCUGAUGCAGCCAUGCCGCGUGUGUGAAGAAGGCCUUCGGGUUGUAAAGCACUUUCAGUUGUGAGGAAAAGUUAGUAGUUAAUACCUGCUAACCGUGACGUUAACAACAGAAGAAGCACCGGCUAACUCCGUGCCAGCAGCCGCGGUAAUACGGAGGGUGCGAGCGUUAAUCGGAAUUACUGGGCGUAAAGCGCACGCAGGCGGUUUGUUAAGCUAUAUGUGAAAGCCCCGGGCUC
RNAcentral lists this ribosomal RNA (557 nucleotides) under uncultured bacterium. Its description in RNAcentral is "bacterial SSU rRNA". It matches the Rfam family "Bacterial small subunit ribosomal RNA", at positions 56 to 610 of the family's 1533-position model. The record is from RNAcentral.